UUACGCUAAUACCGCAUACGACCUACGGGUGAAAGUGGGGGACCUUCGGGCCUCACGCGAUGAGAUGAGCCGAUGCCGGAUUAGCUAGUUGGCGGGGUAAAGGCCCACCAAGGCGACGAUCCGUAGCUGGUCUGAGAGGAUGAUCAGCCACACUGGAACUGAGACACGGUCCAGACUCCUACGGGAGGCAGCAGUGGGGAAUAUUGGACAAUGGGGGCAACCCUGAUCCAGCCAUGCCGCGUGUGUGAAGAAGGCCUUCGGGUUGUAAAGCACUUUUGUUGGGGAAGAAACCGGCCGGGUUAAUACCCUGGUUGAAUGACGGUACCCAAAGAAUAAGCACCGGCUAACUUCGUG
Molecule: ribosomal RNA, 354 nt
Filed under: uncultured bacterium
Lineage: Bacteria
Description: bacterial SSU rRNA
Rfam family: Bacterial small subunit ribosomal RNA
Source: RNAcentral